GUGCUUGCUUCAGCAGCACAUAUACUAAAAUUGGAAUGAUACAGAGAAGAUUAGCAUGGCCCCUGCACAAGGAUGACACGCAAAUUCGUGAAGCAUUCCAUAU
This 103-nucleotide small nuclear RNA is filed under the name Cervus elaphus hippelaphus. Lineage: Eukaryota; Metazoa; Chordata; Mammalia; Artiodactyla; Cervidae. The record is from RNAcentral.